AUCCCACUCCUCACACCCUUCCUCCCUCCUUCCCAUCAUUCACUGAGCACAGCUGGGAAUAAAGAAUUCAUUUGGAAUGGCUCUCAAAGCCUGGCAAUGGGUGUACCAGCACCUGCAAGUUCAGGUUUGCAGUAUGGGCUCCUGUUGUGGAAUCCUCAAAUCGUCUGGGCUGGAAAGGGACAUUGCAGCUCCUCUCGUUUCAGCCCCUCUGCCACCUUCCACUAGGACGGCUUGUUCCAAUUCCCCUCCAACCUGGCAUUCCAGGGAUGGGCCAGAGAUUUGCAGCUUCUCUGGGCAACCUGUGCCAGGGCCUCACCUUAGCGAAGAAUUCCUUCCCAAUAUCCCAACUAAACACACCCUGUCACUUUAAAGCCAUUCCCCCUUGUCCCAUUCCUCUAUCCUUUGUCCAAAGUCUGUCUCCAACUCUCCUGGAACCCCUUUAGGCACUGGACGGGGCUCUAAGGUCUCCCCAGAGCCUUCUCCAGAGUACACAGCCCCAGCUCCCUUGGCCUGUCCUCAUAUUUUUGGGAUUCAUAUGCAGAUGCCUUUAGUGUUGCUGGGAUUCUUCAGUAAAUGAUAGAUAAAACAAGAGAUUAUCUGUGUUGGUUAGAUAAACAGCUUGCAGUUGUUUAUAGUUAAAUCUUUAAAAGUUUGGGGGAAAGAAGAAAAGCAUUUUUAAUGUUAAUGAAAGCAGUACUACACAUUGUGGAUGAACCAGAAUUAUUUGAUAAUGUGGAGAAUACAGAAAGAACUCCUAGGACUCGGAGCUGCUGGCAUCUGUCAUUCUGCACAGACAUAACCCCAUAGCUCCAGGUGAAGGGUUAGUGUGGCAUUCUGGAAAGCAGACGUUGGGAAAAGGGGCUGAAUUCCAUCAAUCUCCCACUGAGCUGGCAAUGAACUGAUUCCCCUGAAUGGUUUUAAGGAGUUUUCUGUUUCUCCAGUAUUGCCUUGGAACUUAAAGGUGUUUAAAUGCAGCUUUUUUACUGAAGGCUAAUUUACCUGACAAUAAAAACAAAACCAAAAUCUCAGUGGACUUCCUAAUGAUGUUGCCCCUGGGUUUUGCUGAUGGGAGUUUUGCUGAGCAGGAAUUAAGGACUGAGUUCUGCUAAUGGGACCACUUGUAAAUCCAGCAGUGAUCCAGUGUUAAUUACACUUCCCAGAUACUUUUCAUCUUAAAAUGGAAGCAACAGGAGGUAUGGAAAUACAAUUAAUGCCUUUUCUUGCAGUGAAAUCCAACGUUUUUAUUUAUUUAAUAAUGCAACAGAUAAUAUCUUCCCACAUUAAUGAAAAAUUUGGCAACCUUUGUGUAACCUUAGCGUUACUUUCACUGGGCAGAAGUAAACAGUGACAUCUCCUGGUAGACAAAAGGAAUUAUGUUCUUUCUCCUUAAAGGUCUCUUAAUUUACCAGACAUCCUUUUUCUGGUUCAGAAUAUGACUUAGAUCAGGCACAGCACGUGCAGGAGAUGUGUAGCAUUCGGCCCUUUUAAGGAUAAAAUAUCAAUAUAUCAAA
Cyanistes caeruleus (blue tit) is the source of this 1511-nucleotide non-coding RNA. The record is from RefSeq and is a predicted model, not a curated record. Lineage: Eukaryota; Metazoa; Chordata; Aves; Passeriformes; Paridae.